AAGGGCACCACAAGAACGCGUGGAGCAUGUGGCUUAAUUUGACUCAACGCGGGAAAUCUUACCGGGUCCGGACACACUGAGGAUUGACAGGCAAUCAUGUGAAUCGUUUUUAUCUUUUAAAACAUUCGCAUAUAAAUAUGCUAGUCCUUUCAUGAUUAUGUGAUAGGUGGUGCAUGGCCGUUCUUAGUUCGUGGAGUGAUCUGUCUGCUUAAUUGCGUUUCAUACUGGACUUAGAAAUCAAGUGUGUUUAUUUUUCUUGUGCGGUUAUGUUUUAAUGCAUUUUGUUACCCCAUUUUUUUGGGUGAGUUUCAAUUUGUGUUUUACAUUCCGUGCUUUAUUGAUAAAUAAAUACACAUCUAGUCCUGAAAGCAACGAACGUGACCGCAUCCUCUUGUUGCCUUUUAACUUAAAACAUUUUUUUUUAUUUUUUUUACUUUAAUUUCUUGUUUUAUAAUAUAAGAGGCUUUCUUAAAACUAGAGGGACCGCUGCGACUUUUUUAAACCAGAGGAAGGUUGCGGCAAUAACAGGUCUGUGAUGCCCUUAGAUGUUCCGGGCUGCACACGUGCUACGAUGAUUAUUGCAGUGAGCAUCUCAUUUACAGCACUGUUUUCAUUUUUUUUUUAAAAUGAGCAGUCAAAGCCUGCUUCGAAAGUUCGCAGGUAAUCAAUUGGAAGUAAUGAUUUCCCUUAACUCAAAUUUAUUUUUGAUUUUGUGAGCACACAAUAUGCUGCUCCCCUCCCUGGCAUUUAGCUUUUUGUCUAUUUGUCAUUGUGUGUGGGGAUGCUCAGCAUGUGCUUUUUGUCAAUUCAUGGUGGGGACAGACCAUUGUUAAUUGUUGGUCUCGGUCUCAACUAGGAAUGCCUUGUACGGGUCUUUGGUUCAACAAACCACCCGGAAUACGUCCCUGCCCUUUGUACACACCGCCCGUCGCUUUUACCGAUGGACUUCUCUGUGAGUUUGAGGGACUGGGUACCUUAGUUCUUUUUAUUUUUUUUUUAAUUUGAAAAAAGCUAUAAUCACUUAUGGAAACUUAAACGAACAGUGUGGUCUAAAGGAAAGAGAAGUCG
RNAcentral lists this ribosomal RNA (1068 nucleotides) under Monothalamids sp. Its description in RNAcentral is "partial small subunit ribosomal RNA". It matches the Rfam family "Eukaryotic small subunit ribosomal RNA", at positions 1160 to 1791 of the family's 1831-position model. Lineage: Eukaryota; Foraminifera. The record is from RNAcentral.